Molecule: long non-coding RNA, 1007 nt
Organism: Salvia miltiorrhiza (redroot sage)
Lineage: Eukaryota; Viridiplantae; Streptophyta; Magnoliopsida; Lamiales; Lamiaceae
Exons: 3
Source: RefSeq, a predicted model, not a curated record
AAAGAAAGAAACAUGUCGAUUCCCAGCUGUAGCUUGAGGCUAUUGAUCGACGCUAAGCGCGGAACUGUGUUAUUCGCAGAAACCGCUGAAAAUCUCGCCGCCGUCAUGUACCACAUGCUCUCUUACCCGGAUAACGCCAUCUCCCUCCUCCGGAGACAAGACACGGCGGCGGGCUCUUUAGCGAACCUCUGCAAAAGCAUCCAAAGCGUCGACUACAAAGAAGCGAGCAAUAAGAUUUACUGCUGCCGCAAUUUUUGUUAUUUCGCGUAUUCCGAUGAUCCCUACGCGGUUUGCGUGCGCUGCUUCGGGUACAUGAACACGACAAUGGCGUACGUAUCGCCGCCGCCACUAGCGCCGCCGGCGGGUGGAAGCGGCCGCGAAGGUCCGGUUCACAUAAUCACGGACGAUUUGGAGAUGAUGCCGAUGUCGGCCAUGUCCAUCGUCACUCUCGUCAAGAGGCUCGGCGUCUAAGAUGGGGAUGCCGUGGUGGAGAAGGUGGUGGAUUUCGGCGUCGACGAGGCCAUUAAGGUGGUGAAUGCUUCUCGGGAAUCCAAGAAGGUUCUCACGGAUGUCUUCCUCAAGCCGGAGACCGUAAAAAGUGAAAUUGAAGGCCUAGACGAAUUCGAAUUCGAAUUCGACAUCUGAGCAUUGCAUAACUUGGUGACACAAUGGAAGGGAGAAUCUAGUGUGGAUGAGGACAUGGAAAUGUUUGGAUCAGUGUUAUCCUAAAAUUUUUCUGGAAUAGGUUAUUUCAACUUCUAAAUUUUUUUUCUAUAGUUGUGCAGUUUUAAGUAGAAGAUGCACAAUACUUUAUAUUGUUUGGUAUGUGUAUUCAAUUUGCAUAAAUGUGGCUUGAGAUUAUUAGACACUUUGGAUCAGUAGAGCAACUGAAGUGCAGAAGCAUAGAUGGGGUAUGGAACCAAUUAUUUUUCGAUGUGCUUUUAUUUCGUUGAAAAUAGCAUCACUUGAGGGAUCUACGUAUAAUGUGCUACUUAGCUCAAGUGUUU